Dalotia coriaria is the source of this 711-nucleotide long non-coding RNA. RefSeq lists it as uncharacterized. The record is from RefSeq and is a predicted model, not a curated record. The transcript has 3 exons. Lineage: Eukaryota; Metazoa; Arthropoda; Insecta; Coleoptera; Staphylinidae.
GUAAUUCAAAGUAGCAUCACGACACUUGGGUGCACCUACUCCUUGCCCGCUCCAUGGAAAAAGCGCUCUCGGAGGCUGAGAGUGGUGAGGACUGCGACCAAAUUAUUUUCGUUUGCGUCGCACGCGCGCUUCGCAGCUCAUUCGCUUGACUUAUUGUAGGCACGAACAAUAGUGCCCGUCCGGCUGCUGGUGUUUAGUUACAGUUUUGAACGUGUUCAAGUGCGCAAGUUUUUCGCCAAAGAUUUGCAUACAAAGAGCAAUCCCUGUUUUCAAGUAAAUCGAAUAAUUAUUCACAGUGGUCAAAAUGGCGGACGGAGGCAAAUGUUUAUUCAUGAUAAUUUGGCUGAUAAUACUGAUAUUCAUCGGUUUCUUGGUGGCCGGCUUCUGCGCUCCAUGGUACAUUCUGGCACAUUGCCUCACGGCUUGUAUUAGCGAGCUACAGGGCAUCGCCGACUUGCUGCUCAAGGGCGUGCAAUUCCCACACUACUGUGCCACUAGAAUGAUGAACGGAGACGCGCUGUUCUAAAUUCAGCCUAAAUCAAUCCUAAUGUGUUUCAUAAAUUGAGUUUUUAUAAUUUUAUAUUACAUACUUGAAUAUUUCGAGAUGGUAAUCUCCAAAUUAUCAAGUGAUAACAUUAAUAUUAAGUGCAAAGUGUACUAAUGUGAAAUAAUCGAAGACAAUUAUUAAAUCAUUUCUAAAUACACUCAAAA